Erinaceus europaeus (western European hedgehog) is the source of this 2995-nucleotide RNA transcript. It is a transcript of the gene named aldehyde dehydrogenase 1 family member L1, with no coding region annotated. Lineage: Eukaryota; Metazoa; Chordata; Mammalia; Eulipotyphla; Erinaceidae. The record is from RefSeq and is a predicted model, not a curated record. The transcript is spliced from 23 exons.
UGAGUGCACACAUUACGGUGCAUAAGGAUCUAGGACCAGGCACCCGGUCCCCCACCUGCAGGAGAGAAGCCUCAUGAGUGCUAAAGCAGGGCUGCAGGUCCCUCCACCGCUCCUGCUGCCAUGAAGAUCGCAGUGAUUGGGCAAAGCCUAUUUGGCCAGGAGGUGUACAGCCACCUGAGAAAGGAUGGCCAUGAGAUCGUAGGCGUGUUCACCGUCCCUGACAAGGAUGGGAAAGCUGACCCCCUGGGACUGGAGGCUGAGAAGGAUGGAGUGCGUGUGUUCAAGUUCCCCCGCUGGAGAGCUAAAGGACAGGCUCUGCCUGAUGUGGUAGCGAAAUACCAGGCUCUGGGGGCCGAGCUCAACGUCCUGCCCUUCUGCAGCCAGUUCAUCCCCAUGGAGGUCAUCAAUGCCCCCCGCCACGGCUCCAUCAUCUACCACCCGAGUCUGCUCCCAAGGCACCGAGGGGCCUCUGCCAUCAACUGGACCCUCAUUCAUGGAGAUAAGAAAGGAGGGUUUACCAUCUUCUGGGCAGAUGAUGGUCUGGACACCGGGGACCUUCUGCUGCAGAAAGAAUGUGAGGUCCUCCCAGAUGACACUGUGAGCACCCUGUACAACCGAUUCCUCUUCCCUGAAGGUGUCAAAGGGAUGGUGCAGGCCGUGAGGCUGAUCGCCCAGGGAAAAGCCCCCAGACACCCCCAGCCUGAAGAAGGAGCCACCUAUGAGGGCAUUCAGAAGAAGGAGACAGCCAAGAUCAACUGGGCACAGUCUGCGGAGGACAUUCACAACUGGAUCCGAGGGAAUGACAAGGUGCCUGGAGCUUGGACGGAGGCCUGUGGACAGAAGCUGACAUUUUUCAACUCUACACUGAACACAGCAGGCCUGAUGCCUGAAGGAGACGCUUUGCCCAUCCCGGAAGCCCAUCGGCCAGGGGUGGUCACCAAAGCCGGCCUCAUCCUCUUUGGGAAUGAUGACAGAAUGUUGCUGGUGAAGAACAUCCAGCUGGAGGAUGGAAAGAUGAUCCCAGCUGCGAACUUCUUCAGGGGAGCAGACAGCAGCGCCCUGGAGCUGACCGAGGCUGAGCAGGCCACCGCGGAGGCUGUGCGGAGCGCCUGGAAGCGGAUUCUCCCUAAUGUCCCCGAGGUGGAGGAUGCCACCGACUUCUUCAAAUCAGGGGCCGCGUCCGUGGAUGUGGUGAGACUGGUAGAGGAGGUGAAGGAGCUGUGUGGCGGCCUGGAGUUAGAAAAUGAAGAUAUCUACAUGGCCACCGCCUUCGGGGACUUCAUCCAGCUGCUGGUGCGGAGGCUGCGUGGGGAGGACGGCGAGAGCGAGUGUGUCAUCGACCACGUGGAGAAGAGUGUGAACAAGAUGACAGUCCAGAUGCCCCACCAGCUCUUCAUUGGGGGUGCAUUUGUGGAUGCCGAGGGUGCCAAGACCUACGACACCAUCAACCCCACAGACGGAAGUGUCAUCUGCCAGGUGUCCCUGGCCCAGGUCAGUGAUGUGGACAAGGCCGUGGCUGCCGCCAAGGACGCCUUUGAGAACGGACAGUGGGGGAAAAUCAGUGCACGGGAUCGGGGACGGCUCCUGUAUAGGCUAGCUGACCUCAUGGAGCAGCACCAGGAGGAGCUGGCCACCAUCGAGGCCCUGGACGCGGGCGCUGUCUACACUCUGGCCCUGAAGACCCACGUGGGCAUGUCCAUCCAGACAUUCCGCUACUUUGCAGGCUGGUGCGACAAGAUCCAGGGCUCCACCAUCCCCAUCAACCAGGCCAGACCCAACCGCAACCUGACCUUGACCCGGAAGGAGCCCAUCGGGGUCUGUGGCAUUGUCAUCCCCUGGAACUACCCCCUGAUGAUGCUGGCCUGGAAGACAGCUGCCUGCCUGGCCGCCGGGAACACAGUGGUCAUCAAGCCUGCCCAGGUCACCCCACUCACAGCCCUGAAGUUUGCAGAGCUGACCCUGAAGGCUGGCAUCCCCAAGGGCGUGGUCAACAUCCUCCCAGGAUCUGGCUCACUGGUUGGCCAGAGGCUCUCAGAUCACCCCGAUGUGCGGAAGAUUGGAUUCACGGGCUCCACAGAGGUGGGGAAGCACAUCAUGAAAAGCUGCGCCCUGAGCAAUGUGAAGAAGGUUUCCCUGGAGCUGGGUGGGAAGUCACCGUUGCUCAUCUUUGCUGAUUGUGACCUCAACAAGGCUGUGCAGAUGGGCGUGAGCUCCGUCUUCUUCAACAAAGGUGAGAACUGCAUCGCGGCCGGCCGGCUCUUUGUGGAGGACUCCAUUCAUGACCAGUUUGUGCAGAGGGUGGUGGAGGAGGUGAGGAAGAUGAAGAUUGGCAACCCCCUGGACCGAGACACCAACCACGGCCCGCAGAACCACCAGGCCCACCUGCGGAAGCUUCUGGAAUACUGCCAGCGCGGCGUGACAGAGGGAGCCACGCUGGUCUGUGGCGGAAAGCAGGUCCCCAGGCCAGGCUUCUUCUUCGAGCCCACGGUCUUCACCGACGUGGAGGACCAUAUGUUCAUUGCCAAGGAGGAGUCCUUUGGGCCCGUCAUGAUCAUCUCCCGGUUUGCCAAUGGUCCUCCUGGAAUUUCCCCCGACACACAGGGACAUCGAUGGUGUACUGUCUCGGGCCAAUGCCACAGAGUUUGGCCUGGCCUCGGGAGUCUUCACCAGGGACCUCAGCAAGGCCCUGUACAUCAGUGACAAGCUGGAUGCAGGCACAGUGUUCGUCAACACCUACAACAAGACCGACGUGGCUGCACCUUUUGGGGGCUUCAAGCAGUCGGGCUUCGGCAAAGACCUGGGAGAGGCGGCCCUGAACGAGUACCUGCGCAUCAAGACGGUCACCUUCGAGUACUGAGCACAGCCCCUCUCUGCCACGUCCUCAGCAAGACCUGCCUUCUCUGUGGGCUUUGGGCCCUGCAUCCCACCGCAAAACCCACACACACACACCCCGUGAGAAAGCCACUGUAGGGCAAAUAAAGUCCUGAAGCAACUA